GAGGAUUACGUCAUAUCAUAAUCAACAAGACAUGGGCCGUUUUUGUACAAGAUAGCUCACAAGACAUUGGCCGUAUUUUUUCACAGGCCUAAACUCAGGAAUAAGCGCGUGUCUUUCACGUUUAGAGAACCUUGCGAACCAGACGCGCGUGGAUGCGGUUUCGCCAUAAAACACUCUUUAGCAGAGAAGCGAGAGUCAAUGAAGGUCCAACGGUCAACUUUUUUAGCGGUGACCGGAAAAUCAAAUCUUCGUCACUUUCAUUUGUCUUCCUCUCUGUUCUCUGCGUCUUCAAAAUAAAUAAAAAUCGUUUCUUUUGCUAUUGCAGAGAAAAAAAUCUGAACUUUUUUCUAUAAUUUUCAAAUGCGUUAGGGGGAUAAUGUUUUCACAGUGUCUUAAUCGAUUUCAGCGAGUACCCAUUUCUUCCGAGAAAGAGUCACGAGGCUUUGUAUCCAAAUUGCUCAAGUCCUGCAUCUCCAAUUCAGCAGAUUAGUGUUUCUUCUUCUGCUAAAGGAAUCGAAAAAUUCUCCUUUUCCAACAACACUCGUCCGCACCUCGGAGAUGAGAUGUCAAAGAAAGAGCAAGAAAAAAUCUUCUUUUUACAUUCUGAGAGAUGAUCUUUUACAUUUCACUUGUGAUUAGUAACAAAGCUAGAAAGCUUGAUGCUUUGCUACCAAGAUUAUAAAGUCACUGAUUUGGUGAGAGUGUGAUCUCUUUUACAUUAUCUCUCAAUUGGGUUUUUUAUGAACAGGAUUUUUUUUUUUUUUGAACAAACGAACAGGAUUUUAACCUUAGAACUUUUGUUGUAUGUUAGGCUACAUGUGGAGGUUGUCAAAGUGCACACACAGCUGCAGUUGGUAAAUGUUUGAAUCUUUUAGAGGAUUAAAUGAAAUUAGGUUUUGAUUGAAAUAGAAACCAGGUGCUUGUAUUGCAGCUGUUUCGUGUGCCGAGAGGGGUCUAAGAUCAUUUGCUGCUGCGUGGAGAACAGCCCGAGGUUUUGACUGGUUAUAACCUUGUUUCUACUAUGUAUUGAAAUGUUCAGUAUAUUCCGAGAUCGAGGUAUGCCAAUAGGGAGGAAAUGCUGAGAACUUACGCUGAUCUGGUCGCUGGGGAAGACGGUUCUGUCUUAUGGGCUAAAGACAUUGUUGAGGGACCUGAGACUAGGGAUGUUGCAAAAAUGGAUGAUUGUUCUAGUUCCAAAACUAUUGGUAGAAAUGUUUUGAUCGUUAAUGAAGGUGUUGGAGAUGCUCUUGAAUUACUCGGUAAAGAUCGAUUUUGGAUAUAGUUUAGGUAGUGGACCAGAUAACUGACCAAGUUUAUCGUUUAACAAGGGCUUUGUCACAACGCAGGUAUGUUUCUGUUAGUGCAGUACUUGUGUCAAGAUCAUUUACUCGGGAAGAAGAGGCCGGUCAAAUUUGUAGUUGAUGCUGGAACAACUACUGUGGGCUUAGGAGUUGCAGCUUUGUCUUUAGGGUUAGGCUUUGUUCACAAGAUUUAUCUAUACACGUUGUGUCUGUAUGUUUUCAGUGUACGUAAGCUUUUAGCUUCUUGAUUAGUAUCUCACUUAAAAUCUUCUCAGGCUUCCAUGGGAGAUCAAUGCAGUGAUGUUAGCUGAUACACUCGAAAAUUACAGAAGACAUGAAGAUCGCUUGAUAGCAGAAUUUACGAGGCAGUUUUCUGCAUCGGUCUUCUACAACAGCUUGGAUGUGAAUCAUAUGAUCAAACGGGUAGAUCGUCGACAUACGAGAAAGUAUGCAUGCAACUUCUUCUGUUUACAAUUGAAGAUAUACUUAGAAUGAUCAUUUCCACCAAGUUUGAAGCUUAAUAAAGUGGUUGGACUGAUUGUUUUUAGAUCAGUUAACAAUCUCCUUUUGUUCUUGCAGGUUUGGGAAGGUCUUGGAAGGAGAAGUGGAGAUGUGUCGGAAAGUUGCACAGGAGACUGGAGUUUUGGUGGAUCCAAUGUACACUUUAGCUGCUUCGGAGACAGGAAUAGAGCUUGCGCAGGAUGAGAAAUCCAGCAUUGUAGUGAUGCUUCACACUGGAGGCACCCUGGGGAUGUUUGGUCUUGCUCAACGCUACAAAUCUUGCUUCACUAAGUUCAACGACUAGGAUAUAAAUUCUCAAACUUAGAGCCAGAAGUCUAAAGAUAGUUACUUUAUAUCUUCAAGUGUUUAGCAAUGAAAAUAUGCAGUACGUAUGGAUGCAAAGGAGCAAAUAAGUAUGAAAGAAAUGAAUAGAUGCAUGAAUAUAUGUAUGUAUAGAUGCAUGUAUGUAUGUUAUGUGUGUGUAUGUGUAUGUUUAUGUAUGUAUGUAAUGCAUGUAUGUUAUGUGUGCGUAUGUGUAUGUUUAUGUGAUUUUUGCCGGUGUUGUGUCUGGCUUCGAUAAGUGAUUUGGAAGAUUCCACGAAGAAUCCUAUGGUCUAUGAAAUUAGACCACAUAUCACAUCAGACUGUGAAAUCUGCAACUACUUCAGAUGAUAAAUUGACUUUAAUGUCAGAUUCUAUGACCAUGUGCUAUAUUGAAGAGAACAUCAAAUUAUUGAAGCAAACUCACAAGAUCAAGCAUAAGUUAAAGAUCGAGGACAUAUACCUUGGGAGGAACUUGCUCCUCUGCUUUGUGAGUGAGUAGUGAGUACACUACUAACUUUGUGAGUAGUGAGUACUUCUACGCAUUAAAAACAAUAUAUACUAUAGAGUGAACACUUAAAGAAAAUUAGAGUUGAAAUUACUAUAUUGAAGAAGACUUACCUCACGAUAGACAAAGCCAGUCAAAAGAGAUGGGUAGAUAUUCUCCAUAUACAUAUGAUCAGUUGCUUAAAAAUAUCAGCACUAUCUAUCUCAUCGCCUGAAAAUUAUUAUCCUGACCACCUAUCAUAGACAAAGCUAUAUCAUUAUCACAGAGCUUAGACAACAGAAACGGGAACUAUAUAUCGAAAGAAGAGAACAAAAUUGUUUGUGACUGGUUUAAGUGAUGGCCUGCUAACUUAGAUGCUCACUUUUUUUGUGAUUGGGCCUGCAGAGAUUUGAGCUCAACAUGUAGUAGAUACAUAGAGUAGCUUGUGUAUCAACAAGAUAGAUUGGCAAAUCAAACUCAUCACUUACCGUACAACCAUUUCUAAAGAAAUUUCAUGGUCCUCUGCUUUGUGAGUUAGAUCUAGAAGCCCAAUUCUGAGAUCAACCAUUCAUUCAGAAAACAUAGUAAAAUGAACUCUAAGAAAAUAUACGUUGCAACUACUAUAUAUUGACAAAGACAUACCCCAUGAAAAAAGUCUAGACUGCCCAAAGGAUAUGGGAUUUUCACCAUAUAUUGGCAAGUGAUCAUUUAUCUCAAAGUCCAGAAAUACUUGAACACCUAUCAUAGACAAAGAUAUAUCACUAUCACAGAGUUUAUGCAACAGAAACGAGAACCAUAUAUCAGAAAGAGGAGAGCAAAGUCCUUUGAAUUUUUAUUUUUUGUUUUGUGAUUGGAUCAGCAAAAAAAAUAUCAGAUUUGAGGCCAUCAAUUAGAUAUGCAGAGUAAACCUGCAGAAACCAAAAACAUUCAGCAGAGCACUUUUCCCUUUUACAUACAACAACUUAAGCAAUCAAGCAUAAACCUAUUCCUUAGUUAAGGAAACAAGUAAGAAAGCCAGUUUAAGAAGUAAGUAAGAAUGGAAGAAAUGAACAAGCACACAAGCAUGAAACGGAAACAAGAAAGUAUAUAUGCAUAUAAAAAAAACAUAUUAAGGGACAAAAGCAAGUAAGUAAGCAAAGUAAAAGGACUGAAGCAAACAAAAAGCUGGUAACCGCACAAAAUAAAAAGCCAAGCAACCAUGAUGUCUGUAUUUAUUCGAUGCAGGCAUACUUUUACUGUUUCAUUAAGUGAUUUGAAAGAAUCCUAUAUGUAAGCUCACAUAGUCACACUAGACUAUGAGCUCUCUCACUGCAAAGGAAAGAGCCAAUAACAUCAAACCGUAAGAAGAAUAUCAAAAGAAGAAUAACGUACCUCGAGAAAUGCAAGACCUUUCUAGGGAAUGAGGCUGUGUUUCUUUCCACAAGUUAACACACUAAAGAAAUUUAAUCAGUAUAAAUGAGAAACCAAACACUAGAAUCAGUCUCUAAAACAAAUAUACAGAUUCAUAUGCAUUGAGAAGAAAAAGCCAGUUCUUUAGUGAUUUCUUCACUUCUUUAAUUAAUUCAUGAAUAAUAUCCCACAUUUAGAAAACAGAACAUUUAAUCACAUGUAGACUGAUCAAACUACAUACCUUUCAAGGAAGAGUUAAUAUAUGAAUCCAAAACAUACCUAUACUAUUAAAUAGUAGUUAGCAAAUAGGAAAUCUUAAAGAAGCUAUACUAACCACGAAUAAUCUCAUUUUUGGCUACGCUAUUUAAAAGGUGAUACGGAUACUAAUAUAGCACCAACAUAAGAAUUGUAGCGAAGAGAACCUUCAGUGACAGCCUUCUUGUCAUAUCAUUUGGAGAUGUCAAAAAGUCUUUUCAUAAAUAUCAAGAACUCAAAGAAACAUAAAUAAUCCGUCAGCUAAAGGAGGAGAAGGUUUUUAAAUGUUUCUUUCAUUUUGUUAUAGGAUUUAUAUAACCAGGAAUAGACUUCUCAUGUCUCCAUCUAAACCUUAAAACAAUACUGAAGCAAACCUCAAUAAUGAACGGUGAGAAACUCGGAGACUACAAAGUCAUGUUUUGUGAGAAGAUCCUGCAAGAGUGGUAAGAAAUUGAUGUAUAAAUUAGCAAAAUCCUAAACAAAGUCGAAGUCAAUGAUAAAGUGUAAAAUAACCUUAAAUGAUGAAAAGGAAUCAGAAGCAUAGCAACAUUAAAGUUUGACAAUUCCUCAUAGCAGGCAGACUCCAAAAUAUAACUGAAGAGGCACUACAAAAAUUUGACCAUGUCAAAAAGAAUAAAUCUUGACUAUUGCACGUACAUGAACUCAUUAAAACAGCUUUGGAAAACACAUUGAUAACCUUGAAACGGAAAAGCAAAAUAUUGGAGUUAUCUUACUUAGCUAGCCUUGUGAAUUCUAUACUUCUACAAGAUAACAUUUUCAUUAGAACUUGAAACCAAAUAUGUAAGUCCUCGUUCUUAAAUCAACUACCACCACACAUUAAGAAUAAUAUAUAGUAAAGAGUGAACUUUUACGAAAAAUGAUAAGUUGAAACUACUACUUACCUCAGAUAGCCGAAGACAGUCAAGACAGAUGGGUAGAUGUUCUCCAUCUUCCAUAUAUUGAUGCAGAAAAAUAUCGGCACUGAUCAUUUAGCUCAUUGUCUAACCAUUAUCCUGAUUAUCUUUCAUAGACAAAGCUAUCAUUAUAACAGAGCUUAUACAACAGAAACGAGAACUAAAUAUCGAGAGAGGAGAACAAAGUUCGUUGUGAAUGGUUGAAGUCAUGGAGUGCUAACUUACAUACUCUUUUUAUAAUUGGGUCAGCACAUAAGUUUCACACUGGAAGUCAUCAAGUAGAUACGCAGAGUAAACCUGCAAAUAUUUUUUUUCAUCAGAUCAUUUAUCCAGUGUAAACACAACACACCAAACAAGUAUGCAUUAAACCAUCAACAUCUUCCCAUUCAAAGUAGUUCGAACACAUCUCCAAGGAUUCCAAGAACGAAAGUCUUCAUAAUAAAUCAGAAUCGCGGGUCAAUCUGCACACAUCAAGCUAAAAGAAUAAAGGUAAUUGUCAACGGUUUGUUGUUAUUGACACAUUUUAUGUAAGAUUCCCGCUGAAAGAACUAUGGUCAUCAUUUCACACUUACCCUUACCAUUUUUUGUAAUUUCUCUCUAUCUUGCCUUUUGAACAACAACGUUUGCUAUGUCUGCAUACGUAAUACAACAGAACUGUUUGGGAAGUAAAUAAUUUAGCAGAGUAAUCUACAUCAUGCAGUUUAAAUGAAGAAUCCAUUAAAAAAAAAUACCAUGAAGAAACCCCAACAAGCGAGCUAGAAAGUAGUGUAAGGAGAGGAUACUCACUUGUUACUUGCUGGAGAAGAGAGGCAAGAACUUCAAACUACAUGAGAAACAAAACUACAGCAUAAAGAUUGAAGACAUACCAUAUGAAGUCAAAGGUGAUAACUAAUAAGCAAGAGAUCAAGAUCAAGUUGAUAGGACAGAGAGGGCUAUUAUAUUCAUUUCACACCUUUUAUCGAUAGAGAUUUCCACUUUAGUCUGCAAGAAGACAGUGUGGAAAGCUGAUUUCAAUACAAAUUGUUAGGCAACAGAUACAAAAGCAUUGAAAACUGCAAACCUGAAAACAACUGAAGAAUUCAUAUUUAAUUUUUACCUUCACAUUAAUAAUGUCAAAGUUGGUUUGGCUGUCAUGAGUAGUCUAAGAACUACAAGAAAUGGUUGGUUAGCAUCAUAACUGUUGAGGUGAUAUUUUGGGUAAAACUUGGAACUAAAUAUGUCCUAAUAAGUCCCUUCUGUUGUAUGUAUGGUUUUUGGUUCUUAUAUAAGAUUUACGAAUAUAAAAUGAAGUAUUAGAAGACAAACCUAAGAUCGUAAGAAAUUAACUUGGGUACAAACAACCAACAAGAGAGAGGCAAAUCAGAAUUCAUUACGCACCAUACAAACUAUUCUAAAGGAGUUAUAUACAUCUCCUCUGCUUUGUAUGUUAGAUCUAGAAGCUUCUUUCUGAAAACGACCAUUCAUUCAAAACACAUAGCAAAUUGAAUUCUAAGAAACAAUAAGUUGAAACUACGAUAUUGACAAAGACAUAUCCCUCUAAGAGGCGUCAAAGCAGAUGGAUAGUUUUUCCAUAUAUUGAUACUAGAAAGAUUUGCAAGUGAUCACUUACCUCAGAAUCUAGUGACUAUUUUGACACAUUUCCCUCAUCAUUAUGGCAGAGUUAUGCAACAAAAACGAGAACCAUUGAUCAGAAAUAGAAAGAAAAAAUCUCUGUUGUGAAUACUUAUAGUGAUAGAGUGCUCACUUACAUACUCCUUUUUAUGUGAUGCCAUCAACUAUAUUUGUAGAAUAAACCUGCAAAAAGAAAAAGAAAAAACAUUGACUUCCUCCCAUUCAGAGUUUUCCAAGAACGCAACUCAUAUGAAUAGAUUAAAGUCAUGGGUCAAACGAGGGAUUGUUAUCAAAAGAAGAAGAACGUACCAAGAAAGACAAGAGAGUGGCAAAUCAAAUCCUUCACGCACCAUACAACCCUUUCUAAAGAAGCGAUGUUCUGAAAUCAACCACACAUUCUGAAAACAUAGUAAAAAUGAACUCUAAGAGAAGAUAAGUUGAUUAGUUCAAAAAAAAAAAGAGAAGAUAAGUUGCAACUACAAGAUAUAGACAAAGACAUACCUCAAGAAAGUCUAGACCGCCCAAAGGAUAUGGAUGUUUCUUCCAAAUACUGAUGAUAAAAAAAAGAAGGCAAAUAAGCAACAAAGUAAAAGAUGUAUGUAAAGAAGCAUGAUCAAAUUAAGCAUGUAAGCCAAGAAGCAAGCAAAUUAAGAAAGCAAGUAUAAUAUGUAUUUAUGUAUGAUUCAUUGUACAUGAAUGAUUCUAUGCAAGUGUACUGUUUAUUUAAGUGAAUAAACAGUUCUGAUGUAUUCCCACAUUGUUAUACUUCGACUAAUAACUCUCCCACUGCAGAAGAACAGAGAAAAUAACAUCAAACUGUAAAGAGGAGACUAAGACAGAGGAAAAGGCACAAGUCAAUACACUAGAGAAACCAACACUAAAACCAGUCUCUAGAAGUCGAAAACAGAUCUAUGCAUUAAAAAAAAGAAAGAAAAAAAGUCAGUAUUCAUGACCAAUAUAUAUCCCACACUUACGAAAACAGAACAUCGAAUCUGAUGAAACAGAACCAAAUUAGUUUAAAACGUGUUUCAGAUGAUUGACUAAACCAAGUUUUGGAUGGAGUCAACUCGAGAAACCAUACCCUCUAGAGAGAGUUUCUGAUAGUUUCCACGUUCGUGUACAGUACAAUACCUUACAAAGUGGAAACAAGAUCCUUAAAACAAGAUCCAUAUAACAAGAGAGAGAGAGAGAGAGAGAGAGAGAGAGAGAGAUGAUAAAUAGAUGAACAUAAAACCCUAAAAAAACCCUAAAGAAACCUGAUCGAAUCGCUGCAAUUUUCUCUGGAAGCCCUUGCAAUUUCCUCUGCCGUCAAUAAGAAGACGAUGAAUCAGAGAGUAACGCUGUUAUAUAAAAUCAAAACAAGUUAGCAUAUAUAAAUCGAGAUUCCAAUUCCGCAUAAUCUAGGGUUUGAAUUUGAUUGGGAAUAGUAAAAAUCAAACGAAGCAAACCCCAAAACAGGGUUUUGAAUUCUAAGCCAAGGACGCUCUUCGAACGGCUCUCUCCUGAUUUUGAAAUUCGUCUCUCGAUGUUUCCGUUAAAUAGAAACUUUUAGACAUCAUCAUCCUUUUUUCCCCUCGAUAGAAAGCCCAAGUAUAACCAUGAAAAAGCCCAAUAAAAUGGCCCAUUAGAAAAAAACUAAGCAAAGCGGAAACUUUUUUUCUCAUUGUUCAUAUAAUAAAUUUUUAUGAGUUUGGUUUAGCAGACCAAUCAUUGAACUCUUACGGUUUGGUUAUACUGAAAUUUUGCUCGGUUAGAGUUUGGUUGUGUUUUUCAAUUUGUAUAUGGAAAUUUGAUAGAACAAAAUAAUGUUUUUGUUGGAUGGGUAAGUAUUAAGUAAGAUAUGUUCAUGUAAUGAAGUUUCUUAUAAAACGAUUAAACAAAUUAAAUUAAACUACAACUAGGGUUAGGAUUGGUUUUGAUUAGGGUUUUGUUUGGUCACUACUUCGUGUUUAACAAACAUUUUCUUCACUAUCCUACUAUGAUAUCUACGUUCUAAACAAUAUAUUAUAUAUUUGCUUGUUAAGAUCUUUCGUUCUUAUAGUAGUAUUAACAAUCUAGUGGUUUUGUGUGAAUUUUUAAAAAUCAAAGGACAAGUGACAAAAUUUCAUGGCAAUAAAUUACAUGUAAUCAUGAGUUAUAAGAUUUCAUCACAGAUUUUUUUUUUGUCUGAUACUUAAGACAGUUAUUCCAAAACCAUGUUCGAAGACGCAUAUGCAAGUUUUGUUAUGGACCAUUUAAUAUCAAACAUUCGUGGUGAAAACAUAUCUUAUAGAUUGUUUAAAACCAAGAGAACAGAUAAAAUUAAAGAAGUCUCACUAAAUGAUUGUUGAAGUGUUUUAAGUACUCUUUCUUGGUGCUACAAUAGGCAUGGAACCAGUCUUCAUUAACCGUAGAAAGCUCAAUGCCGAAAGCCGCAAAGCCUGCGAGUGUCCCGAGGGAUUGCCAUAAACCGUACUUACGUGCCACCAACCGUACUUACGUGCCACCAACCUAGAGGGGCGACGUACGGGCGAGCCGUAUGAAGGCGCAAUGAACUAGAUUGAAGAAGUCCAAGCUUUGACUGAUUCUCUUGGAUGCACAUUCUUGAGGCUUUUUCAUUUUCUUUACUUGAUAAUAUUAAAAGGUAAAAAAAUUUCUCCUUACAGAAUACAAUAUACAAUAUAUAUAAAAUUAAUUUUGUUAAACAACCAAACAUAACUGGUGACAAACAAAAACAUCAUAUACAACUGCUUUAGACGCAUGUAAUCAAAUAAAUUUUAUUCAUCUUUAACACUUUUAAAGAGGACCCGACGCAUUGUUGGUUGAGAACCAUGCAUGCACUUUUCAGCUCAAUAGAAAGCCAUAUCCACGACUCUCCUCCUCUCAAGAGGGUCAGUUUCUUCUUCAAUAACAUUCAACGACAUCAUCAUCAUCUCAUUCAAUGAUGUAGUCUAGAGCAGAUGUAACUUACACUCUCCCUGUUUUUAAUUAGUUAUCGUUUAAAGUUUUUGCACAAAAGUUUAGAAAACAAUUAAAGUUUCAGUUUUAUUCUUAUUUAUUAUAUUUUCUAUUUUUUUUUAUUGUUCAAAGCAUUUAAAAAACUAGAAUAAAGUUGGAAUUUUCACCCAAUUAUUGCAUUGAACAUCCAAAACGACAACUAUUUCGAAACAAAAUUUUAACUCUAGAACGACAACUAAUUUAAAACGGAUGAAAUAUGUUUUAUCAUUUAUUGUUUAUGCAUGCAAAACUAUAACAACCCUGCCUCAUAAAUUUUUUCUUGUCAUUAAAUGUUCAAACAUUAAAAGACAAGGUUAAGGAUAAGAAAAAAGCACAGCUAUUGAAAAUCUGAACAGCUUGUUGUUUUUCAAUAUCUUUAAAAUUGUCUUUUACUGUUUGAACCUCUAACAACAACAUAAAUUUAUCGGUUAGUGUUGUAAUAGUUUUGCAGACAGGCGACACAACAAAUGAUAAAAAAAAAAAUUGUUUCAUGACAAACUCUUUUGUCACCUUGCAGACCAGUAUUGUAAGUACUUUAACAGCUAUUUUCUUCAAGUACGACCAACAACAACAACAAAAAACAUAUUUAGAAAUAUAGGUUUUUUUAGUUACCUCUCCAUUGUCUAGCCUUCCUUGAUACAUCCUUGAUAUUAUUCGUAGUGGUGCAAGUUCGCGAUAUGAGAAAAUCUUGACAAAUGUAUAAGGUUUCUAAAACUCUUUCUGGUUUGGCUACAAAGGAACAAAACACCACAAAUGAGAUCGAGACUCUAUUAUCACAUGUGAUCUGGAUCAAUUAAGUGCGUUAAAGAGACAUCAGUUAACCAAAUAAACAAAUCUUUCAACAGUGACGACUUAUAUAAUCCAUCACUAUAAAACUCUCUAUCAUCAUUAACUUUAUAAUAAUCUAGCUAAUCAAUGGUAUUAAUUAAAGACAUCUCAAGAUUAAUAAAUAAAGAAGAAAGAUUCAUGAGAGGAAGUUAGAGAGGAACCAGAAGAUAUAUGCCGAUGAUGAUGACUUGUCACGUUUUGGAUUUCUUAUCAGACUUGUCUUUGAGAUCCAAAACACAAGCAAACAAGCCAUCAUGGUAUCUCUUUGAAUCAAAUCUCAAGGAAAACAAUCAGAAACAUGAUAGAGAAACGGAAGAUAGAAAUAAACACAAACACUCUAUGGUUUGAGAUUCAGACACGACGACAGAGAUAUAAGGAACCAUACAAACCCACAAAACAAGAUCAAGAGACUCGAGUUUUGGGGAUGACUCUCGAUGAAAAGGUGAUGAUGAUAAGGAAUUGAGAAAGAAUGAGAUUUGGGGUCAGAAACGAGAGGGGUGUAUAUAAAACUAGAGGAUUAGAGAUAUGAUCAGAUUUGGAUUACAGCUAGCAAGAGGAAAUCAAAAGUUUGACUGUAGGGUUUUUGAUAAGGUAAGCAUAACAAAAGACACGUAAUCCACAAAGAUAGGCAUGUGUUUGCUCUUAUAAGAUCAUCCUCAUUAGUUAUAGUAUCUUUAAAUGUAAAAAUAAUAUUUAAGAUUUGUGUCUACUAAUAAAGAUUUAUGUCUAUACACAGACACUUUAAAUAACCACAGUAGAAACUAAAAAUAUAUAUUAGAUCUAAUAUUAAAAUAUUAUUAAGACAUAAAUAUAUUAGAGCCCUCAUCAGAGGGAAACAUAUGUGAACGUUGUAUUAAGACCAUGGGCAUUGGCAGGUCCCAUGGUCAGUCCCUCAGCUUUUUAAGAAAAAAAAAAAAAAAAAAAAUANNNNNNNNNNNNNNNNNNNNNNNNNNNNNNNNNNNNNNNNNNNNNNNNNNNNNNNNNNNNNNNNNNNNNNNNNNNNNNNNNNNNNNNNNNNNNNNNNNNNCGGGAUUGUCCCUCUUCCAUUCGCGGGCCCUACUGACACGUGGCGGCCCGCGAUUGGUUAAUUUUUUUUUUUGUUUUUUUUUUUUAAAUUCUGUAAAAAGGAAAAAAAAAAGAAAAAAAAAAUUUGGGAUCUAUAUCGGUCCCUCCGAUGCACAUGUCCUAAGUCUGACUGAGAUUUUGUGCAAGUCCCCUGAGGAACUCUCCAAUGCUGAUCUGGCCGAGGCAUAUUCUAUACUACGUUUUGUGACAAAAGCAGGUUAUAAGUUGGCUUGGUUGGAGAAGAAACUGAAAGAUUCUGGUGUGACUCGGCUGCAAGAAAUUAAGGAAGAGGUGAAAGACUUGAAGGUGAAGUGUGCAGACAUAAAUGCUCUGCUUGAGUUCUUAGAAUGAUGUUCGGUGAUUAAUAGGGAAAAGAGUUGGGAUUUAGAGUGCUUUUUAAACUUGGAACAUCAAGAGGACUUGGUUAUCGUUGUUAAGGUUUCACUAUCUUUUAUUUACUAUUGCACUCUGUUUCUUGAUGGAAAAGUAAUCAUAAAUGUUUUGUUGUUUUUAUGUCCGAACUAGUCUAUUACAGUUGGCUCACAAAGAUAGUAAAUCUGAAUUCAUUUUCACUAGUCACUACAAUGAUGCUCAAGGAAAAUCAAAAACACGAUCAAGAAGCAGAAGAUAACCAAAGGAUAACACAAACACAUAUUUGCGUUGUAACAUAUAUACUUAUAAAUAUUCGCAUGUGCACUGACAUAUCAGAAUGUCAAGACUCCUGUAGAGUACCGUAGAACCCAUUCAACAGCUCCAAACACAUUUGCAUGUACGAUGACGAGUUUCCUUGCUCUCCGAAUAUCUCAAACGCAGCAGCUCUCAUCUCUUGAUGCACUUUCUUGAGGACCUUUUCAUUUUCUGAUCUUUACUCAUCAUGCAGCUUUACAAAAAGUCAAACUUAAAAAAAAAAACCAGCUUAAAAGGAAGAUAAUUUUCUCCUUAUAGAAUACAAUAUAUGGCGGGGCUCAUAACCUAAUUGUUGAACAACCAAACAUAUCUUUGAUUGUCAAAAAGUUGCAAAAUAACUGGGGACAAACAAAAACAUCAUAUACAACUGCUUAAGAUCAUGUCCCCAAUAGUUUGAUGAUCAUCAAAUCGUAAUUGCUUCAUCAGAUUAAUCUCUGAAUAAUUUGUCCGCAAAAAAGGAAAAAAAUGGAAAAGAGACAAAACGCAAGAUUCGUGUUGUUUUAUUAUUUUAACAAACAAUGUUUGUUUUUACAUGUACAUAAUUAUGUUGGGCUUUAUUAUUGAUUUUUUUUUAAGAAAAAACUUAAUAAUUUGUAGAUAAAUUCAAAAUAAAGACAAACUUAUGGCAUUGUAAUGUAUAACAUUCUAAUAUAUAUGCUAUAAAACAGAAAAUGACAAAAAUAAUUACGAAAAUAACAAAUUUUUUGAGUCAAUUUAAAUAUAGAAGAAGAAAAAAAACAUUGAGAAAUAUAUUUUUUCAUCUUCAACAAUUUUAAUUAGGACUCGACGUUGUUGGCUGAGAGCCAUGCAUGCACUUGCCAGCCCAAGAUAAAGCCUCAUCCACGACUCUCCUCCUCUCAAGAGAGCAAGUUUUUUUUUCAAUACUCCAUUCAUCUCAUUCGAUGUCCCUGCCCUCUACAUAGCUCCUAUUCGUCCUUUGGCCUAGUUUUUCUUAUCCUCGAUUGAGAGUAUUCAAUGAUGUAAUCCAGAGCAGAUGUAACUUAUACAUUUGAUCAUUUAUUGUGUGUGCCUGUAAAACUAUAACAACACUAACUGAUGAAUUCCUCCUUUCGUUACAGGUUCAAACAUUAAAGGACAAUUAAAAGACAUGGAGAAAGAACAAGCAAGCUUAAAAGACAUCGAAGCUUGUUUGUUCUUUCUCCAUGUCUUUUAAAUUUUCCUUCAAGUUUGAACCUGCAAUGAUAAGAUGAAUCUAUCGGUUAGUGUUGUAAUAGGCAGACACAAUAAAUAAUUAAUGUAUAGGUUACUUCGGUGAUCACUGGUCUAAUGUUUACACCUUCACAUAGACUGAUAGACACAUAAAGGCCACUUUAAGAGUUCUUUCCAACACUCUUUUCGUGAAAACGCCUUGAUAACUAAUUUGACCUACAAAACAAGAUCAAGAGAUUCUAGUUUUGGGGAUGACUCUCGAUUAAAAGGUGAUGAUGAUAAGGAAUUGAGAAGGAAUGAGAUUUGGGGUCCGAAACAAGAGGGGUUUAUAUAAAACUAGAGGAUUAGAGAUAAGAUCAGAUUUGGAUUACAGCUAGCAAAAGGAAAUCAAAAGUUUGACUGAAGGGUUUUUGAUAAGGUAAGCAUAACAAAAGACACGUAAUCCAUGUCUGCAUUAUAAAUGUUACUUAUCUCUCAAGCUCUUAAGGGUAAUAAUUUGGUAAUAUCAUAUGGUAUUAAAUUUUCUUACAGAAACUUCACCAAAUAAAAAAAGUUUUAUAGGAAGGUUAUCUAUGUUUGACUAUAAAUUUAUUAUACUAUUUAUAUUUUAAUAAUUUUUUUUUUUGAACUCUAAAUAAACAUGCUCUACGUAAAAUUUUGAAUGGUUAUUUCAAAAGAUAUAAACAUAUUGUAGAAUACAAAAAUGUCAUGAAAUAAUGAAGCUUAAAGGUCAAUUUGUGUUGACUAGAUUUCGGUUUGGAUCCGGUUAAAAUUUAAGACGAGAAAACAGAUUUGCGGAAUAAAAUAUUAAAUACCAGUGACUACAGUACAAGUGUAAAACCAAGAGACCUGAAAAAAUAUUCAAGAAGUCUCACUAAAUGAUUGUUACAGUGCUUAAGUACUCUUUCUUGGUGCUACAAUAAGCAUGGAACCGGUCUUCAUUAACCGUACCAAACCCGGAAAGCUCAAUGCCAAAAGCUGCAAGCCUACGAGUGUCCCUUUGGAUGGGCGAUUGCCAUAAACCGUCCCACCAACCGGGAGGUGCGAGCGGCGUGAAGGCACAUUGGUUUGGCUGUUUUGGACAGCUUAACGGUCCAGCGUAUCUGUUCCAUACAUGUCCCCAACCCACCUGGUUUUUCAGACCGUCUGCUAAUAAGUUGCUCUGGAAGCUACUCAGGAAAGCAAAGCUCGAGUUGCUCGAACCGUCCUCUGUAAAUUAACCAGUUAAAAAACCAGUCAAGUAGUAGUAUUAAUGACGACUGAGAAAUGAAAAGAGACGCAAGUGUUGAGGAAACUAAGGUAAGGUCUUAACUGAGACUAUUUGCAGCAGCUAAUGCAGCAACCAAUUGAGCAUAUGUGGUCCCGACUCGCCUGUUAGCACCGGAUAUCACCGCCUGUUGUGCACGGCAUGCGAGGAAGAAAUCUACAAAUGCAACCCAUCUCGGUGCAGGACCCCAAUCUUUUAUUCUGAAAUCUAACAUUGGCAAUCCGCGGCCACGUUGGGAGAUGUCACCUCUGAAAAGCUUAUAGUCAAAAUGUAGAACCUGCAAACCAUUGCAACUGUUUUAGUCCGGCAAUGAAAUUGGAGAAUCUAUUGGAAAGAUUAUAGCAAGUGCGAGUUUAAUAGAUCAUUAAUACCUCCGCAAUUGCGCUGAUAUUUGUUUUGAUAGUUUUCACUACAGAUGGUGUGUCAGACACUAUAACUACUCUCGGUUUUGAUAUGCCAAGUCUGUUAAUUGCUUUCCCUAGACAGUUUAUCGCUGCACGUAUAGGUCGAACAGAUCUGGAGAAAUCAUGAAACGGAAGAUUAGUAAGCCAUCUAGUGAAAAAAAAACAUACUUGAGUUGUAACAUACUUGCUCAUCAACAUGCGCAUGUGCACUGAAAUAUCAGGAUCUCCAGUCUCCUUUAGAACCCAGUCAACUGCUUCUUUCACAUCUUUCGUGGGAGAAAUGAGACUCAUCAUCAAUUCUCCAAACACAUUUGCUUUUGGUGCUGAGUUUCCUUGCUCUCCAAAUAACUCAAAUGCAGCAGCUCUCAUCUCUGGAUGCACAUUCUUGAGGAAAAACUGAGCUGCCACAGCGUCUGUAGUGCCCUGAAACCUGAAAACCAAAUGUUACGCUUAGUUAAUGAUUAUAACUUCACAAAAUGGACAAAAAAGUUGUAUCUUUUGUUUCCUUCUCACUGACCAUAUUAUCGGUUCUUCCCAUUUCUUCCAAUUACUGCAUAAGACAUUACUCUUAGCCGGCUUCUCGAAAUCAUCCAAUCUCAUUACAAGCCGCCUUCUAUAUUUCUUCACGCAGCCAUUUUGUCGCCACAGAUGCUUCACUUCAGUCAUGGUAAGUGUAGCAUUGGAGUAAGCAAUGUAAUCACCAAAAGGAUAUCUACCCCUGAGGAUCAAUAAACAGAGAAAGAAAUAUAAACAAGACAAAUAACACAAACUACAGCAAGCAAAGUAACAGCUCAGGUUCUGAAUCAGUUAAUAUAGUUCCCAAGAAAUAGAGAAAAAGGAUUGAGAAAGAACCAAUAUAUGCCUGGUCUGGCCAAUGAUCAAGGAUCUGUUCAACAUUAUGCUCAAUGCCGCUGAGGUUAAGAUCUUGUACAUUUCGUUCCCAAAUCCAGCUUCUGCUGUUUUCCCCAGAACAUAACCAUGUUUACAAAAUUGCUCCGGAGGCAGCUCACGAACAGCUGAAGCGCCUGCAAACCACAAGAAUCAUCUUCAUCAUCAUCAUUCAUACAUACAAGCACUAGUUUUCCAGACAUUAAUCUAGAGCAAGCGGAAUAAAAAUACACACUUUGUUAAAUCAGAGUAAUCGGAUUCAAAAAAUCUUGCUUUCACUAAACAAGUAACUAGCCAAACACUAACCAAUCGAUUCAAACACACAAUUUCUCACCAUUAAUUUGAAAAUGGCGACGGAUAACAUCUCUAACUCUGAGACUUUGAUCCACGAAACCACCAUCGAACUCGCUUCCCAUCUCUUCUACCGUCGCACAGAGCCUACCUCCAUCGACCUUAGCAUCUCCAAUCGAAGAGGAGUUGCUCCAUCUCGCAGCCUCCUCGGAUUCCGAACCGGCGUCGUCGUCGUCGUCAUCGAUGAAAGACGAGUUAGGAUCCACGGAACGGAGAGUGAGCAACAACAAGCCAAAACCGAUAAAGAAAAUCACAGAUGAUAAAAGAAUCGUUGUCUUCCCGAACAAUCGCUUCCGUCUGGAUCCACCGCGUUUCAUCUCUUCCUCAUCGUUUCUUCUCCGUCGUGGGAGCUUUGGAUGCGAUCGGCACGGCGCCGUUUUUGAUACGUUCGUGUCGGUGGCCGUUAAACUACUUCAACGGGUCAAUUUUUUAACACUACACUGGGCCUAACUAUAGCUAUUAAAGUCAAAUUUUUAACACUAUACUGGGCCUAACUAUAGCUAUUAAAGGCCCAUAACUUAUAUAGGCUUGGUCUUAUGAAGCCAUGAAUGGUUGUUGGUUUUUAAAUAGUUUUUAGAUUAUGGUUUUUGGUUUUUAACUUUUGGUUUUUGAUUUUAGGUUUUUAAUUUUGCAAUAUAUAUUAUUUUUUGGUUUUUUUAUAUUUUAUUAGAAGUGUUGUUAGUAUUUUCUUAAAAUCUCAAAUAUGUGGAUUUUGGUUUCCAUUAAAAAUUGUUAAGAAAACAGAAGGGUGUAUUCAAAAUGGAAUUUUAAGAGAUUUGAGUUUUAUUGAGUUUUUAAAUGAUUUUGAUUAUUUUAGGGAAGUUCAUAUGACUUUUGUAAAAUUCUUUCAAAUCUCACCAAAAACCAUGGGAUUUGGAUUUCUGUAUUUUUAACUAAGGAAAUCUAUUACCAUUCAAGGCACGAGACUUCAUAAGCUUAGAGGCAUUUUUCUUGUUUUGUGCCCAAGUGGUUCAUCUACAUCAAUAAUAAUAGGAUUGGCUACUAAAUAAUAAAUAGUUUGAGUAGUAUAUAAUCGUAUUUUCAAACUCACGUGAAUUAGUAUAUAAUUCAUGAGAAAAUUGUAUUCUCUGCCAUGAACAGUGUCAUUUCUUCUAAGAAAUGCCACUUUCAUUCCAAUCUUCUAAGAAAUGCCAUAGGAUCCACUUUAACUUAUUAAAAUGUCAAUUCUAUCCCUCACUCAAACUUUCUCUCUUUUCUUUCAUUUUUUCUCAUCUGUUUCUUUCUCUUCUUCUUUCAUUUUUUCUUUCUUUCUUUCUCUUCUUCUUUCAUCUUAUCUUUCUUCAACAACAAACAAAUUUCUCUACAAUUUCGGCAGACUAGUUCCGGCGAACCAUUUCUGGUGGACCAGUUCCGGCGGACCAGUUGCAGUUCCGGCGGACCAGUUGCAGUUCCGGUGGACCAGUUCCAGUUCCGGCGGACCAGUUCCAGUUCCAACGGAAUAUAACCAGUCUCAGUAGACCAUAUCUGAUAGACGAGAUAUGACAGACCAGUUUCGAUGGACCAAUUCUGGAGUAUCAGAUCCGGCAAACCAGUUUCAGUGGAUCAUAUCAGGUGAAGAAGUUACAGCGGACCAUAACCAGUUUUGAUGGACCAGAUCUGGUGGACCAGAAUCGGUAGACCAAACUUGUCCAUCCUACAGAUUUCUUGAAACCACAAGAAAUUAAGCAGAAGAUAAAACAAAUGAUGCUUCUAUGGAAGAUAUCAUCAAUGAUCCAUCUAGGUAUACACUUUCGAUCACACAUUUGUGCGUUGAUGGACUAGAUUCGGUGGACUAGAUCUGAUGUCUGUAAUAUGUCCAUUUUUUGUUUCUUAAUUUGUUGUCCAUUAUACGUAUAUAGUAAAAGCAAAGAGUAUCGGCACAAAAAAAAACUUGUCUAUUAAUUAAUGUCCAUAAUUGAUUUAUGUUUUUUUGUCUUCUUUCUUUGAGGGCAUUUUUGUCUUUUUAUUUUACAAUAAAAAUGAAUAUGGCAUUUUACAAAAUACAAAGUUGAAAGUGGCAGUUUUAAAAGUUUGAGUUUUGAAAGUGGCAUUUUACAUAAAAUUCCCAUAAUUCAUUUUCACAGAAAAACUAAAUUCUUUGAAUAAAAAAAAAGUAUAGAUCACUUAACUACGUCACAACAUCAAUCUUAAUUACGCAAGUAGUUUUCAGCAAACUUUUAAGUUUUAGUUUUCGGGAAACUCUUUAGAUAUUUUUGAUUAUUUUCUAAUAGAUAUUUUAACAAUAAAACAAUAUUUUAUUUUGUAUUAGGUUAAUCUAAAAUUCUCCACUAACUUUUUAGGGGGUGUUAUUGGAUUCUAACUUAUAAAGAAUUUGGAUGACUCUGCUAAAAUCAUAGAUUGUAUGAUUUUAAAGGAUUGUCUGAGAGUUUUAUAUAAUCUUAUUGAUUAGUUUUUUUAAAGUCUUGUAGAGUCUCUCAAACAAUCUCUGUAUUUAUAAGAUACUUUUCAUGACUUUAUUUUGUAAAGAAGAGUGUUUAAAAUCAUAAACCAAUAACAUAAAAUUUUAAUUCAUUAACAAUCAGAGAUUCUUUUGUUUUAAUUGAAUAACACAGAACUUUUAAUGACUUUGUAAAACUCUGUAUCCAAUAAUCCCAUAUUUAUGAAGAUUUUAAAUGACUCUUUACAAAUAAAUAACUAAUAACACCAAACUUUAAAAGAGUUUUGUAAAAUCUUGAUUGAAUAACAAUAGAUUCUACCUAACAUAUAAAGUCAUUAAAACUCCAUAUAACUCACAAACCAAUAACACCCCCUUAUUCUUUAAUUAGCGAUUUGUAAUUGUGAAUCUACUAAAACUGCGAUCACGGAUGCUCUGCAAUGACAAAUUUUUAAACAGAUAACCUAAAUUUCUUAACAUUCAAUGCUAAGUUAGAUAAGCCAAAUAUAAUUGUUAAUGGGGAAUCCAAAGCGCCUCCAUUUCACGAUAAGAAAUCCAUCGUAAUGCUCAUAAAGUCAAGUAAUCAGUAAAUAUUUUAAGGUUCAGUUUUUUCAGUAAGCUUUGUAGGUUCUACUGUAAAUGUUGGUAGAAAGAGUUGGUGCCGAAAUUUUUUUCACCAAAAAAAUUCUAUUAACAUUUACACAAAAAAGUUAUUUGUAAGAAGAUUUUAAAAAUCACCAAAAUAACAAUACAAUUCUAAAUACUGUAACAAUUUAUAAUUCAUGAAUAUCUUUUUUUUUUUUGUCAUCCAAUGAAUACUUAAAUCUCAAAAUUUUGAAAGUUACAAAAAAACCUAUCAACCAAUAAUUUUCUUAGAUGACUUUUUAAAUUCAAUAAUGUUAAUGAUCAUUGCUUAAAAACUUACAGUUGGAUGUUUUAAAUUUUAUGCAUUUAAUUUUCGUAGACAGUUAUAAGCUUUUAUAUACAGUUGGAUGUUUUAAAAUUUAUGUUGACUCUCGUUACCGAUAUCUUUUUGAUUUACUAUAAAGAAGAAACUGCCGAUCCAUUAAUAACUUUGUGUUUUGUUGAGAAACUAACAUGUGUUCCUUGAAACAUUCAUAACAUGAUUUUUUUUUUUUUUUAAUCCUUUGAAAUCUCCAUUGAAAUAUAAUGCUACGAAAAAGAAGAAACACCAUGUAUUCCAAAAUAGAUAACAACUUCUCGUUAAGAUAAGAUUAAAACUCCAACGCAAUCAACUUUCAUAUAAGUAAAUGAAGCUUAAUAAAAUUAUUAUUUUGUUGAAAGGUUUUGGAAAAAUGCAAAAUAUCGAAGCAAAAGCUCUUGUUGUUUUAUCAACAGCCGCCAUCGAAAUGUUUUUUUUUUUUUACAUCAUACAAAAUUAGCAUUCCAACUUUAGCAUUAAGUCAAUGCAUUUUCAAUCUCUAAAGGAAUUUUAAAAAAUGAAUUUUCGUUUUGAAUAUGUAAUAUUAUCAAAAAUCUAGUUAAACUAUCUGAUAAUAAGACUAUAUCAACAAGAUCAUAAUCUUUGUCCUUAAACACUUCACACUUCACUCACACAUAUAAAUACCUUGUUAUCUUCCUACUACUAUUUUUUUUUUUUUUUUUGUAACGUAUAAUAUUAUUGAUAAUUAACGAGUUAUGUUACAUGAUAAACCACAAGGAAUAUAAUAAUGAAAUACAAAGGAUUCAUUUAAACGCAGUAGGGACUUAACAAAGAUGAUCUGCUGCUUUGUUACUUGCUCUUAUAAUUCGAGUAAUUAAUAAUUUGAAACUACAUUAAU
RNAcentral lists this long non-coding RNA (20612 nucleotides) under Capsella rubella. Its description in RNAcentral is "long non-coding RNA (CRUB_LNC002487)". The record is from RNAcentral. Lineage: Eukaryota; Viridiplantae; Streptophyta; Magnoliopsida; Brassicales; Brassicaceae.